RNAcentral lists this ribosomal RNA (481 nucleotides) under uncultured bacterium. Its description in RNAcentral is "bacterial SSU rRNA". It matches the Rfam family "Bacterial small subunit ribosomal RNA", at positions 32 to 524 of the family's 1533-position model. The record is from RNAcentral.
AAUCAACGCUGGCGGCGUGCCUCAGACAUGCAAGUCGAACGAUUAAAGCUCUCUUCGGAGAGUGUAUAGAGUGGCGCACGGGUGAGUAACACGUAAGUAAUCUACCUUUGAGUGGGGAAUAACCCGGGGAAACCCGAGCUAAUACCGCAUAAUGCAGCGGCACCGCAAGGUGACAGUUGUUAAAGGAGCAAUCCGCUUAAAGAGGAGCUUGCGGCAGAUUAGCUAGUGGUAAGGUAAUGGCUUACCAAGGCUUCGAUCUGUAUCCGGCCUGAGAGGGCGGUCGGACACACUGACACUGAAUAACGGGUCAGACUCCUACGGGAGGCAGCAGUCGGGAAUUUGGGCAAUGGGCGAAAGCCUGACCCAGCAACGCCGCGUGAAGGAUGAAGUAUUUCGGUAUGUAAACUUCGAAAGAAUGGGAAGAAUCAAUGACGGUACAUUUAUAAGGUCCGGCUAACUACGUGACAGCCGCCGCCGUAAC